This 460-nucleotide ribosomal RNA is filed under the name uncultured bacterium. RNAcentral's name for it is "partial 16S ribosomal RNA". It matches the Rfam family "Bacterial small subunit ribosomal RNA", at positions 338 to 795 of the family's 1533-position model. The record is from RNAcentral.
CCUACGGGUGGCAGCAGUGAGGAAUAUUGGUCAAUGGACGAGAGUCUGAACCAGCCAAGUCGCGUGAAGGAUGACUGCCCUAUGGGUUGUAAACUUCUUUUAUAUGGGAAUAAAACAGGGUAUGCAUACACUCUUGUAUGUACCAUAUGAAUAAGGAUCGGCUAACUCCGUGCCAGCAGCCACGGUAAUACGGAGGAUCCGAGCGUUAUCCGGAUUUAUUGGGUUUAAAGGGCGCGUAGGUGGAUUGUUAAGUCAGUUGUGAAAGUUUGUGGCUCAACCGUAAAAUUGCAGUUGAAACUGGGAGUCUUGAGUGCAGGAGAGGUGGGUGGAAUUCGUGGUGUAGCGGUGAAAUGCUUAGAUAUCACGAAGAACUCCGAUUGCGAAGGCAGCUCACUGGACCGCAACUGACACUGAUGCUCGAAAGUGUGGGUAUCAAACAGGAUUAGAUACCCGAGUAGUC